GACGAACGCUGGCGGCGUGCUUAACACAUGCAAGUCGAACGGAAAGGCCCUGCUUUUGUGGGGUGCUCGAGUGGCGAACGGGUGAGUAACACGUGAGUAACCUGCCCUUGACUUUGGGAUAACUUCAGGAAACUGGGGCUAAUACCGGAUAGGAGCUCCUGCUGCAUGGUGGGGGUUGGAAAGUUUCGGCGGUUGGGGAUGGACUCGCGGCUUAUCAGCUUGUUGGUGGGGUAGUGGCUUACCAAGGCUUUGACGGGUAGCCGGCCUGAGAGGGUGACCGGCCACAUUGGGAAUGAGAUACGGCCCAGACUCCUACGGGAGGCAGCAGUGGGGAAGAUUGCAAAAUGGGCGGAAGCCUGAUGCAGCAACGCCGCGUGCGGGAUGAAGGCCUUAGGGUUGUAAACCGCUUUCGCCUGUGACGAAGCGUGAGUGACGGUAAUGGGUAAAGAAGCACCGGAUAACUACGUG
Molecule: ribosomal RNA, 468 nt
Filed under: uncultured bacterium
Lineage: Bacteria
Description: partial 16S ribosomal RNA
Rfam family: Bacterial small subunit ribosomal RNA
Source: RNAcentral